This 484-nucleotide ribosomal RNA is filed under the name Peptostreptococcus sp. canine oral taxon 033. RNAcentral's name for it is "bacterial SSU rRNA". It matches the Rfam family "Bacterial small subunit ribosomal RNA", at positions 9 to 458 of the family's 1533-position model. The record is from RNAcentral. Lineage: Bacteria; Bacillati; Bacillota; Clostridia; Peptostreptococcales; Peptostreptococcaceae.
GAGUUUGAUUAUGGCUCAGGAUGAACGCUGGCGGCGUGCCUAACACAUGCAAGUCGAGCGCGGUUGUGCUUAGUAUUGAGUGUUUUAUUGAUAUAAAACAUUGAAUUCUAUGCACAACUGAGCGGCGGACGGGUGAGUAACGCGUGGGUAACCUGCCCUAUACACAUGGAUAACAUACUGAAAAGUUUACUAAUACAUGAUAAAAUAGUUUUUCGGCAUCGAAGAAUUAUCAAAGUGUUAGCGGUAUAGGAUGGACCCGCGUCUGAUUAGCUAGUUGGUGAGAUAACUGCCCACCAAGGCGACGAUCAGUAGCCGACCUGAGAGGGUGAUCGGCCACAUUGGAACUGAGACACGGUCCAAACUCCUACGGGAGGCAGCAGUGGGGAAUAUUGCACAAUGGGCGCAAGCCUGAUGCAGCAACGCCGCGUGAACGAUGAAGGUCUUCGGAUCGUAAAGUUCUGUUGCAGGGGAAGAUAAUGACGGU